This 520-nucleotide ribosomal RNA is filed under the name Papilio montrouzieri. RNAcentral describes it as "partial 16S ribosomal RNA". The stretch from base 396 to 520 matches the Rfam family "Bacterial large subunit ribosomal RNA", at positions 2473 to 2598 of the family's 2925-position model. The record is from RNAcentral. Lineage: Eukaryota; Metazoa; Arthropoda; Insecta; Lepidoptera; Papilionidae.
AAACAUGUCUUUUUGAAAAUAAUUUAAAGUCUAAUCUGCCCACUGAUNAAAUUAUUAAAGGGCUGCAGUAUUUUGACUGUACAAAGGUAGCAUAAUCAUUAGUCUCUUAAUUGGUGACUUGUAUGAAAGAUUGGAUGAGAUAUAAACUGUCUCUAAUUAAUUUGUAAAAUUUAAUUUUUUAGUAAAAAAGCUAAAAUAAUUUUAAAAGACGAGAAGACCCUAUAGAGUUUAAUAAUUUAUUUAAUUAUUAUUAAUAUAUAAAUUUUAAAAUUAAAAUUAAAUAAAUUAUUUUGUUGGGGUGAUAGAAAAAUUAAAUUAACUUUUUUUUUAUAUUAAACAUUAAUUUAUGAAUAUAGGAUCCAUUAUUAUUGAUUAUAAGAAAAAAUUACCUUAGGGAUAACAGCGUAAUUUUUUUUUUUAGUUCAAAUAGGAAAAAAAGUUUGCGACCUCGAUGUUGGAUUAAGAUAAAAUUUAGAUGCAAAAGUUUAAAAUUUUAAUCUGUUCGAUCAUUAAAAUCUUA